ACUGGGCGUAAAAGCGCAUGCAGGUGGUUUGUUAAGUCAGAUGUGAAAGCCCGGGGCUCAACCUCGGAAUUGCAUUUGAAACUGGCAAACUAGAGUACUGUAGAGGGGGUAGAAUUUCAGGUGUAGCGUGAAAUGCGUAGAGAUCUGAAGGAAUACCGGUGGCGAAGGCGGCCCCCUGGACAGAUACUGACACUCAGAUGCGAAAGCGUGGGGAGCAAACAGGAUUAGAUCCCCUGGUAG
RNAcentral lists this ribosomal RNA (240 nucleotides) under uncultured bacterium. Its description in RNAcentral is "partial 16S ribosomal RNA". It matches the Rfam family "Bacterial small subunit ribosomal RNA", at positions 553 to 793 of the family's 1533-position model. The record is from RNAcentral.